This 465-nucleotide ribosomal RNA is filed under the name uncultured bacterium. Its description in RNAcentral is "partial 16S ribosomal RNA". It matches the Rfam family "Bacterial small subunit ribosomal RNA", at positions 338 to 795 of the family's 1533-position model. The record is from RNAcentral.
CCUACGGGAGGCAGCAGUGGGGAAUAUUGCGCAAUGGGCGAAAGCCUGACGCAGCGACGCCGCGUGAGGGAUGAAGGUCUUCGGAUCGUAAACCUCUGUCAGCAGGGAAGAACGGUCACUGUGCUAAUCAGCAGUGAAUUGACGGUACCUGCAAAGGAAGCACCGGCUAACUCCGUGCCAGCAGCCGCGAUAAUACGGAGGGUGCGAGCGUUAAUCGGAAUUACUGGGCGUAAAGCGCUCGUAGGCGGUAUGUCAAGUCAAGGGUGAAAUCCCCGCGCUCAACGUGGGAACUGCCUUGGAAACUGGCAAACUGGAGUGUGUGAGAGGAUAGUGGAAUUCCAGGUGUAGGAGUGAAAUGCGUAGAUAUCUGGAGGAACAUCAGUGGCGAAGGCGACUAUCUGGCACAUAACUGACGCUGAGGAGCGAAAGCGUGGGUAGCAAACAGGAUUAGAUACCCGGGUAGUC